Molecule: ribosomal RNA, 428 nt
Filed under: uncultured bacterium
Lineage: Bacteria
Description: bacterial SSU rRNA
Rfam family: Bacterial small subunit ribosomal RNA
Source: RNAcentral
UGGGGAAUUUUGGACAAUGGGGGCAACCCUGAUCCAGCAAUGCCGCGUGUGUGAAGAAGGCCUUCGGGUUGUAAAGCACUUUUGUCUGGGAAGAAAAUGGAUGGGUGAAUAAUCUAUCUAGAUGACGGUACCAGAAGAAUAAGGACCGGCUAACUACGUGCCAGCAGCCGCGGUAAUACGUAGGGUCCAAGCGUUAAUCGGAAUUACUGGGCGUAAAGCGUGCGCAGGCGGUUUUGUAAGACAGAUGUGAAAUCCCCGGGCUUAACCUGGGAACUGCAUUUGUGACUGCAAGGCUAGAGUGUGUGAGAGGGGGGUAGAAUUCCACGUGUAGCAGUGAAAUGCGUAGAGAUGUGGAGGAAUACCGAUGGCGAAGGCAGCCCCCUGGGAUAACACUGACGCUCAUGCACGAAAGCGUGGGGAGCAAACAG